Chroicocephalus ridibundus (black-headed gull) is the source of this 694-nucleotide long non-coding RNA. RefSeq lists it as uncharacterized. The transcript is spliced from 3 exons. Lineage: Eukaryota; Metazoa; Chordata; Aves; Charadriiformes; Laridae. The record is from RefSeq and is a predicted model, not a curated record.
CAGGUUUAUUCUCUGAUUUUCUUUACAAGGAGCAGGGCAGCCGUGGCCGGCGAGGGGCCGGGGCGGUUGGGGAGCCGUCCCCGGUGUCAAACGGUGCAGUUUCCCUCACCGUAGCGCCGGCACUUCAUCACCUUCAGCCAGGAGGUGAAGGUGCUGAGCCCUCAGCACGGCGUUGGCAAACAGGUUGGAAAGGGGCAUGGCCGGGAAGGUGGCAGCUUCCUGUGGCCACUGCAGUCCCAGAGCGAUCGCAGCAAUGAAGAGAGGAGAAAACCACGACCCUGCAGCAAAGCGGAGAGGAAAGGCGGUGGCAGUCCUUUAGUGGCCGUGCUGAGGAGAAGGAAUUCCCAGCCUCUUCUCUCCGUGCUGGCUGAGAGCUCACCUUCCUGACCGUCUUGUUUGGCUCCUCGGGCCUUGCCCUCAUGAGGAGAGCACACUGUGUGAGCAAGCAGGGGAUGGUGAGCACCAGGUAAGGGUCUGGGAGUAGCUCACGUCAGCCUUGGUUUACUCCAUGCUGCUGAGGUGAAACCGCCUGUCUGCCUUCCCUGGUGACAUUACCUGUGCUCUGACCAGCUUCUUUUUCUUUCUGGGACGUUCCUGUAGAAUUUGGUGAUCUUUGUCAAGCCUAAAGGUUUUCCGCCCCUGACAUCUAACUCACACAAGUGUCCAUCUGUGCUUACAGAGACCACAAAGUUAA